UGUUAGGGAAGAACAAGUGCAAGAGUAACUGCUUGCACCUUGACGGUACCUAACCAGAAAGCCACGGCUAACUACGUGCCAGCAGCCGCGGUAAUACGUAGGUGGCAAGCGUUGUCCGGAAUUAUUGGGCGUAAAGGGCUCGCAGGCGGUUUCUUAAGUCUGAUGUGAAAGCCCCCGGCUCAACCGGGGAGGGUCAUUGGAAACUGGGAAACUUGAGUGCAGAAGAGGAGAGUGGAAUUCCACGUGUAGCGGUGAAAUGCGUAGAGAUGUGGAGGAACACCAGUGGCGAAGGCGACUCUCUGGUCUGUAACUGACGCUGAGGAGCGAAAGCGUGGGGAGCGAACAGGAUUAGAUACCCUGGUAGUCCACGCCGUAAACGAUGAGUGCUAAGUGUUAGGGGGUUUCCGCCCCUUAGUGCUGCAGCUAACGCAUUAAGCACUCCGCCUGGGGAGUACGGUCGCAAGACUGAAACUCAAAGGAAUUGACGGGGGCCCGCACAAGCGGUGGAGCAUGUGGUUUAAUUCGAAGCAACGCGAAGAACCUUACCAGGUCUUGACAUCCUCUGACAACCCUAGAGAUAGGGCUUUCCCUUCGGGGACAGAGUGACAGGUGGUGCAUGGUUGUCGUCAGCUCGUGUCGUGAGAUGUUGGGUUAAGUCCCGCAACGAGCGCAACCCUUGAUCUUAGUUGCCAGCAUUCAGUUGGGCACUCUAAGGUGACUGCCGGUGACAAACCGGAGGAAGGUGGGGAUGACGUCAAAUCAUCAUGCCCCUUAUGACCUGGGCUACACACGUGCUACAAUGGACAGAACAAAGGGCUGCGAGACCGCAAGGUUUAGCCAAUCCCACAAAUCUGUUCUCAGUUCGGAUCGCAGUCUGCAACUCGACUGCGUGAAGCUGGAAUCGCUAGUAAUCGCGG
Molecule: ribosomal RNA, 917 nt
Filed under: Bacillus sp. DCR_RI06-31
Lineage: Bacteria; Bacillati; Bacillota; Bacilli; Caryophanales; Bacillaceae
Description: bacterial SSU rRNA
Rfam family: Bacterial small subunit ribosomal RNA
Source: RNAcentral